AUUGAACGCUGGCGGCAUGCCUUACACAUGCAAGUCGAACGGCAGCACGGGAGCUUGCUCCUGGUGGCGAGUGGCGAACGGGUGAGUAAUAUAUCGGAACGUACCCUAGAGUGGGGGAUAACGCAGCGAAAGUUGCGCUAAUACCGCAUACGAUCUACGGAUGAAAGUGGGGGAUCGCAAGACCUCAUGCUCAUGGAGCG
This 200-nucleotide ribosomal RNA is filed under the name uncultured bacterium. RNAcentral's name for it is "partial 16S ribosomal RNA". It matches the Rfam family "Bacterial small subunit ribosomal RNA", at positions 30 to 228 of the family's 1533-position model. The record is from RNAcentral.